RNAcentral lists this ribosomal RNA (397 nucleotides) under uncultured bacterium. RNAcentral describes it as "bacterial SSU rRNA". It matches the Rfam family "Bacterial small subunit ribosomal RNA", at positions 28 to 414 of the family's 1533-position model. The record is from RNAcentral.
GACGAACGCUGGCGGCGUGCCUAACACAUGCAAGUCGAGCGGAGAAUGCGGACAUGUUUACAUGGAAGUGUUCUUAGCGGCGGACGGGUGAGUAACACGUGGGUAACCUGCCUCAAAGUGGGGGAUAGCCUUCCGAAAGGAAGAUUAAUACCGCAUAAGCCUACAGUACCGCAUGGUACAGCAGGAAAAGGAGCAAUCCGCUUUGAGAUGGACCCGCGGCGCAUUAGCUAGUUGGUGAGGUAACGGCUCACCAAGGCCACGAUGCGUAGCCGACCUGAGAGGGUGAUCGGCCACAUUGGAACUGAGACACGGUCCAGACUCCUACGGGAGGCAGCAGUGGGGAAUAUUGCACAAUGGGCGAAAGCCUGAUGCAGCAACGCCGCGUGAGUGAUGAAGG